RNAcentral lists this ribosomal RNA (973 nucleotides) under Escherichia coli. RNAcentral describes it as "partial 23S ribosomal RNA". It matches the Rfam family "Bacterial large subunit ribosomal RNA", at positions 418 to 1388 of the family's 2925-position model. The record is from RNAcentral. Lineage: Bacteria; Pseudomonadati; Pseudomonadota; Gammaproteobacteria; Enterobacterales; Enterobacteriaceae.
CGGGACACGUGGUAUCCUGUCUGAAUAUGGGGGGACCAUCCUCCAAGGCUAAAUACUCCUGACUGACCGAUAGUGAACCAGUACCGUGAGGGAAAGGCGAAAAGAACCCCGGCGAGGGGAGUGAAAAAGAACCUGAAACCGUGUACGUACAAGCAGUGGGAGCACAGAGCAAUCUGUGUGACUGCGUACCUUUUGUAUAAUGGGUCAGCGACUUAUAUUCUGUAGCAAGGUUAACCGAAUAGGGGAGCCGAAGGGAAACCGAGUCUUAACUGGGCGUUAAGUUGCAGGGUAUAGACCCGAAACCCGGUGAUCUAGCCAUGGGCAGGUUGAAGGUUGGGUAACACUAACUGGAGGACCGAACCGACUAAUGUUGAAAAAUUAGCGGAUGACUUGUGGCUGGGGGUGAAAGGCCAAUCAAACCGGGAGAUAGCUGGUUCUCCCCGAAAGCUAUUUAGGUAGCGCCUCGUGAAUUCAUCUCCGGGGGUAGAGCACUGUUUCGGCAAGGGGGUCAUCCCGACUUACCAACCCGAUGCAAACUGCGAAUACCGGAGAAUGUUAUCACGGGAGACACACGGCGGGUGCUAACGUCCGUCGUGAAGAGGGAAACAACCCAGACCGCCAGCUAAGGUCCCAAAGUCAUGGUUAAGUGGGAAACGAUGUGGGAAGGCCCAGACAGCCAGGAUGUUGGCUUAGAAGCAGCCAUCAUUUAAAGAAAGCGUAAUAGCUCACUGGUCGAGUCGGCCUGCGCGGAAGAUGUAACGGGGCUAAACCAUGCACCGAAGCUGCGGCAGCGACGCUUAUGCGUUGUUGGGUAGGGGAGCGUUCUGUAAGCCUGUGAAGGUGUGCUGUGAGGCAUGCUGGAGGUAUCAGAAGUGCGAAUGCUGACAUAAGUAACGAUAAAGCGGGUGAAAAGCCCGCUCGCCGGAAGACCAAGGGUUCCUGUCCAACGUUAAUCGGGGCAGGGUGAGUCGAC